GUAGUCUCGCACAGAUGCAUAUCAAUAAGCGGAGGAAAAGAAACUAACAAGGAUUCCCCUAGUAACGGCGAGUGAAGCGGGAAGAGCUCAAAUUUGAAAUCUUAAAGGGUUUCCCUUUACGAAUUGUAGUUUAAAGAAGUGUUUUCUGUUGAGGUUUUGGUAAAAGUUCUUUGGAAUAGGACAUCAUAGAGGGUGAGAAUCCCGUAUUUGACCUUUACUUUCAACUUUGUGAUACACUUUCAAAGAGUCGGAUUGUUUGGGAAUGCAGUCCAAAAUGGGUGGUAAAUUUCAUCUAAAGCUAAAUAUUGGCGAGAGACCGAUAGCGAACAAGUACCGUGAGGGAAAGAUGGAAAAGAACUUUGAAAAGAGAGUUAAACAGUACGUGAAAUUGUCAAAAGGGAAGCGUUUGACACCAGUGUUGUUUUUCUGAAAAUCAAUUAAAGAACUGUUUAUGCUAAGCUGUUUAGACUUUAUCAGCUAUCUGUUUAGUUUUGAGCUUUUCUUUAAUGCACUUUUCAGUUAACAAGUCAACAUCAAUUUCUUUUGCUGUAAAAAAGCUUGAGGAAGGUGGCUUGAGAUUCGUCUUAAGUGUUUAUAGCCUCUUGCCUAGUGCAGUCGGAGAGAUUGAGGUCUGCAGCGUAGAUCCUUCGGGGCUAAAUGCAUUUGUGCUAAGUUAUAGCAUUUUAUAGACAACUUGUUGACUAUGAUUUGUCUUGUAGCUUACUCGCUUAUGUUAUUUUACCUACGCUUAGGAUGUUGAAGACUCUACAGAGAUA
Molecule: ribosomal RNA, 776 nt
Filed under: uncultured Neocallimastigales
Lineage: Eukaryota; Fungi; Neocallimastigomycota; Neocallimastigomycetes; Neocallimastigales
Description: partial large subunit ribosomal RNA
Rfam family: Eukaryotic large subunit ribosomal RNA
Source: RNAcentral